Molecule: small RNA, 47 nt
Filed under: Arabidopsis thaliana (thale cress)
Lineage: Eukaryota; Viridiplantae; Streptophyta; Magnoliopsida; Brassicales; Brassicaceae
Description: ATSL053720
Source: RNAcentral
AUAGAGAAGCUGUCUGCUCUCUCUCUUCUGUCAUCUAAACUUCUCUC